AACGAACGCUGGCGGCAUGCCUAACACAUGCAAGUCGAACGAGACCUUCGGGUCUAGUGGCGCACGGGUGCGUAACGCGUGGGAACCUGCCUUUAGGUUCGGCCUACCUCAGAGAAAUUUGAGCUAAUACCGGAUGGUGUCUUCGGACCAAAGAUUUAUCGCCUGUAGAUGGGCCCGCGUUGGAUUAGCUAGUUGGUGGGGUAAAGGCCUACCAAGGCGACGAUCCAUAGCUGGUCUGAGAGGAUGAUCAGCCACACUGGGACUGGGACACGGCCCAGACUCCUACGGGAGGCAGCAGUGGGGAACAUUGGACAAUGGGCGAAAGCCUGAUCCAGCGAUGCCGCGUGAGUGAUGAAGGCCUUAGGGUUGUAAAGCUCUUGUACCCGAGAUGAUAAUGACAGUAUCGGGAGAAUAAGCUCCGGCUAACUCCGUG
Molecule: ribosomal RNA, 433 nt
Filed under: uncultured bacterium
Lineage: Bacteria
Description: partial 16S ribosomal RNA
Rfam family: Bacterial small subunit ribosomal RNA
Source: RNAcentral